Anolis carolinensis (green anole) is the source of this 2956-nucleotide long non-coding RNA. RefSeq lists it as uncharacterized. The transcript is spliced from 3 exons. The record is from RefSeq and is a predicted model, not a curated record. NCBI's taxonomy places the organism in Eukaryota, Metazoa, Chordata, Lepidosauria, Squamata, Anolidae.
AAACGAACAAGAAGCGAGGAAGAGGAGGAGGAAGCAGGACUGGCGGAACCAGUUACCUCUUGAGUUCUUUCGGCUGGCUUUUUCCUCAGAGCUUGUUUAAUCCUGGGGUCCAGGAGAGAUGUCAUCCUACCACUUGGGAAGCAGCUGAAUCAACUGGUUUCCUCUUUGUUUGCCAUUAUUAGUGGUCAGAUGAGGUGGCCUGCUGAAGGUUCGGGAAUGUUCACCAACUAAAACUAAAAGCACAACUCCAUUGAUACUCAGAAUAUCAGCAGAACAUUCCUGUUCCUCAGUCUGAAGAAAUGAAGCCAAACUAUGUAAGGAAAGUAAGACCUCAACAUUAAAAAAUACAGGAUAGAGGGAAAGUUCAUUUUGAAAUGUUGAUGUUCUCUGUCACUCUUUUUGAAUGGUCUAUAAUGUGCUGGCUUCUGGAGUUUGACUAUCCAGUGAAUACAGUGAGUGUUAACAGCAUAAAAGACUUUAUUUACAUGAAAGUAAAUGGGGACUGUAGACUGCAGCUGCUCACUUAGGGAAUGAAUGAACUAUUUUUCUGGCAAGAGGUGAUUAUCCUGUUUGCAUGUACUGGGUGUUCGUAUGACUUAACCAGUUAGUUAGAAGGCUGAUUACUUUAAAGAUAAUGUAUACCUAUGUGGCAACUGAUUUGUAGACAGUCUGUGCCCUAGACUAGCUAGAGGCCUGCAUUUGCAAAAUCGGGCUUUUAUAUUCAUAUUCCUAAUAGAAUGAGGAACUCCAGCCACAAGCAACCACAGCAAGUGUCUGCUGUGUUUGAGUCCCUUGAAGCAAAACGUUCUUGUGUGCCUUCAUUUUCAACUUAUGGUAACUCUAAGGCAAACCUAUCAUGGUUUUUGCUAAGACUACGAGUGUGUUACUUGCCGAAAGUCACCCAGUGGGCUUUCAUGACACAGUGGAGAUUCAAAUCCUGGUCUCAAGGGUCAUAGUCCAACCCUAAAACCAUUAUGCCACACUUGGUCCCAUGAUACUCAAGUCAAAAUUACACAUAAAUAUUAAAUCACAUACAUGAUCACUUGGGAGUUUUCCUCUACUUUAAUUAAUAUUUGCAAAUUACAGUUCUCCUUUUAAUGUUACCAUAUGACUUCCUAGUUAGGAACUUGAACCCUCAAACAUUCACCUCCUCUGGAUGCUGCUCAAUAAUGCAGUUAUGAUACUGGUGACAGGCUGGGGUAAACUUUAUUUCUGCAUUUCUGCACUAUUUCCUUCACAGGUUCCUUCACACUCUUGGGUAAAACAGGUAUAUAUGAAUACAGGACCUUUUUAGUUUUGUAGAUGAUAAUUUAUGUUCCCCUAUGCCAACUCCCAUCAGAUCUUGGAAACUUAGCAGGGUUUAGUGUAUAAUAUUAGUAAUACUUGAAUGGAAACUAGCCAACAAAUACCAGAUGCUGUAGGCUAUACCUCAGAUGAAAGAACUCGCAAAACCACCUUUGAGUAUUCCUUGCCUAAGAAAACCCCAUGAAGUUCAUGGGGUCAGCAUAAGUCAACAGGGAACUAGAAGGCACAGACAUGCCUAAGAAAACCUCAGGAAAUGUAUGGAGGCACCAUAAAUUGACAGGUGAUUGAAUGUACAUACAUCUGAACUCUGAGUAUGAUCUCAGGAUCAUAGAUAUGUUACCAAGGUUUUUGAGAACUAAAAUGCUCUUUAUGUAAACCUGUAUUAUCAUGAGGAUAAGUGCUAAUUCAACUGACAAGACCUUGUCAGUUAACAGGGAAUCGGGUAUCUGAAGCCACAUUUUGUAAUGGAGACCACCAUAGAAGUAGGAAAGAAGGGAGUGAAGGGCAGGGGGAGGGGGCGCAAUUCCAAAGCCUUUUAUCUAUCUCUGGUUGAUUUUAAAAUUUGUUUCUCAUAUUCCAAAGGCAAUGUGAAAGCAUAAUGUAGGAAGACUGUGAUUGUAAUUCCACAAUCCUGCUUAGUCAUGAAACAGUUUAAAAACCUUAUGCAAACACAUUUCAAAAGCUGUCUUUUAAUCUUAUUCACAUGUAAACUGGGUGCUUCCAUAAUUAUGCCUUCAUUAUACAAUGUACUAAUUUAAGAGUAAGAGCACAUCUGGGUGUCACCAUCUUCCAAAAGUAGCCUUCCUGUUUUUCCUGUCAUGUUGUCUGUUUCUCUAUUUCUGUAAACCACAGCAAAUCAUUUAAGAUGGGGGAAAAAGAAUACUACAUAGUGCCUUUUGAAUACAUUGUGUGACUAUGAUUGUACCCAACCUUAUUUUGAAAACUAAUUGGUGUUGAGACUGGUCAGUACUUAUUUGAGACAUUAUGUCAGGGAUUUCCAAGUAGGGCUGCCAUAGCUACCGAUCAUUGCUGACAGUCCAGUACUUCUUUGACAGUACUGGCAUAAUGGACCAAUAGCCUGAGUUAUCAGGCAGCCUUCUGUGUUGCUGUAACUUGUAAUGAGAAGAGCAAUCUGCAAGUAGCCAAACUGCAGUAACAACCUCUGGAUUAAAGAAUCCAGGGCGCUUUAAGUAGUAUGCGUGACACUACCAGCCGUAGCACAGCCUGCUGGCUACUCCAUUUCCUCAGAAGAGAUAAAUGUAAUGUAAAUUAGCAAGAGUGUUACAUGUUAACAGCUCCAACUAUUGAAUAAAGAUGUAGAGCACACAGAAAUAAAUCUACAAAACCCAUUCCACCUUUCCUCUGCCAGCCAGCUUGCAGCUCCUUAUUGCCUAUGCUUACAAAGCUGACUAAAGUUCUAGGCAAGACAUUUCUAGAUAACCCUCUUUAUCUCUAUGCCAUGUUUGACUGAAGCAAUAGUAAAAAAAAUUAAAAGCUGAUAAAUCUGUUCUGACUACAGAUUAAAAUGGGAUAAUAUUUACCUAUUGCUUUGGGAUACAUAAAGAGCUUGGUUACAAAGUAAAACAUCCUCUAAUGGAAAAGAGGACACUGAAUGGGGGCUGUUGUAUGUUUUCCGGGCUGUAUGGUCAUG